This 90-nucleotide transfer RNA is filed under the name Parcubacteria group bacterium ADurb.Bin326. Its description in RNAcentral is "tRNA-Ser". It matches the Rfam family "tRNA". Rfam says of the family: Transfer RNA (tRNA) molecules are approximately 80 nucleotides in length. Their secondary structure includes four short double-helical elements and three loops (D, anti-codon, and T loops). The record is from RNAcentral.
GGAGAGUUCGCAUAGUGGUCGAGUGCGCUCGCUUGGAAAGCGAGUAGGGUGUCAAAGCCCUCGGGAGUUCGAAUCUCCCACUCUCCGCCA